AAUGGGGGAAACCCUGAUGCAGCGACGCCGCGUGAGCGAUGAAGGUUUUCGAAUCGUAAAGCUCUGUCCUUGGAGAAGAUAAUGACGGUAUCCAAGGAGGAAGCACCGGCUAAAUACGUGCCAGCAGCCGCGGUAAUACGUAUGGUGCGAGCGUUGUCCGGAAUUAUUGGGCGUAAAGGGUACGUAGGCGGUUUAUCAAGUCAGAUGUUAAAGCGUGGGGCUCAACCCCAUAAAGCAUUUGAAACUGAUAAACUUGAGUAGUGGAGAGGAAAGUGGAAUUCCUAGUGUAGCGGUGAAAUGCGUAGAUAUUAGGAGGAAUACCAGUUGCGAAGGCGACUUUCUGGACACAAACUGACGCUGAGGUACGAAAGCGUGGGGAGCAAA
Molecule: ribosomal RNA, 384 nt
Filed under: uncultured bacterium
Lineage: Bacteria
Description: bacterial SSU rRNA
Rfam family: Bacterial small subunit ribosomal RNA
Source: RNAcentral